AAAACCCUAUCUAUCACAUAUCCUUUCUGCUCCCCCUGGAGGGUGAGGCCUUCCAUAGGGUGUCGUCAGAUUCUAUUCAGAGGGUUACAAAGCUACCAAACACCAGGCUGAUGGUGUGUAAAGCCCAGAGCCUUGGAGUUGCUGAGCCUGCAGGUCUAUUCCACCAUGCUGGAAAGAAACACAUUAUACAUCCAGGGAAGAUGGUGGCUGAAGACUGAACGACAUUCAGGAGGAGUCCCAUGGGUGGCUCUAACACCUUGGAAAGCAGUCUGAGUAAGUCUGGUAGCUGAACGUCAAUUGAACAGCUAUCUUCAGAGGAGAUCACAGAACCCAGAGUCACUUCCCAAAGCUCUGUAUACAGUACAAGGAAACCAGAUAUGUGAGGAAUGAGGGCAGUGCCAUGCACAGUAAGGGAAGUCAAUCACCCAAUCACCAAGGGCUUCCAGCUGCUAACGAUCGGUCACUGUUGCCUGGAGAAUAGAUUCUGCCUGGGUCCAGUGGGGAUAUUGAUAUAAAUCCCGUUCACCAUAAGAAUUGCAUUCAGGGUUGCAUUCAGAGUCAAGAGGCAGUACACCAAAGCCUUUGACCCUGUGUUUCAGAACUAUCAUACAUGACACAUGCACACCUGUUUAUGGCAGGUUUGCCUGUAGCAGGUUAAAACUGUGUGGAAUAAGAUUCAUCCACUAAAGCAAAUUAUGGCAUC
Molecule: long non-coding RNA, 703 nt
Filed under: Cricetulus griseus (Chinese hamster)
Lineage: Eukaryota; Metazoa; Chordata; Mammalia; Rodentia; Cricetidae
Description: lncRNA (ENSCGRG00015039630.1)
Source: RNAcentral